This 238-nucleotide ribosomal RNA is filed under the name uncultured bacterium. Its description in RNAcentral is "partial 16S ribosomal RNA". It matches the Rfam family "Bacterial small subunit ribosomal RNA", at positions 96 to 334 of the family's 1533-position model. The record is from RNAcentral.
UGGCGGACGGGUGAGUAACGCGUGGGUAACCUGCCUCAUACAGGGGGAUAACAGUUAGAAAUGACUGCUAAUACCGCAUAAGACCACAGCACCGCAUGGUGCAGGGGUAAAAACUCCGGUGGUAUGAGAUGGACCCGCGUCUGAUUAGGUAGUUGGUGGGGUAACGGCCUACCAAGCCGACGAUCAGUAGCCGACCUGAGAGGGUGACCGGCCACAUUGGGACUGAGACACGGCCCGA